UUGGAGGGCAAGUCUGGUGCCAGCAGCCGCGGUAAUUCCAGCUCCAAUAGCGUAUAUUAAAGUUGUUGCAGUUAAAAAGCUCGUAGUUGGAUUUCGGGGUCAGUAGGUUGGUCAUGCCACUGGUAUGUACUGGUCUCACUGAUUCCUCCUUCCUGAUGAACUGUAAUGCCAUUUAUUUGGUGUUGCAGGGAAUCUGGACUGUUACUUUGAAAAAAUUAGAGUGUUUAAAGCAGGCUAACGCCUGAAUACAUUAGCAUGGAAUAAUGAAAUAGGACGUUCGAUCCUAUUUUGUUGGUUUCUAGGAUUGACGUAAUGAUUAAUAGGGAUAGUUGGGGGCAUUAGUAUUCAAUUGUCAGAGGCGAAAUUCUUGGAUUUAUUGAAGACUAACUACUGCGAAAGCAUUUGCCAAGGAUGUUUUCAUUAAUCAAGAACGAAAGUUAGGGGAUCGAAGACGAUCAGAUACCGUCGUAGUCUUAACCAUAAACUAUGCCGACUAGGGAUCGGAUGAUGUUAAUUUUUUAAUGACUCAUUCGGCGCCUUACGGGAAAC
RNAcentral lists this ribosomal RNA (549 nucleotides) under uncultured Glomeromycotina. RNAcentral's name for it is "SSU rRNA". It matches the Rfam family "Eukaryotic small subunit ribosomal RNA", at positions 548 to 1098 of the family's 1831-position model. Lineage: Eukaryota; Fungi; Glomeromycota. The record is from RNAcentral.